This 818-nucleotide ribosomal RNA is filed under the name uncultured Bacillus sp. RNAcentral describes it as "bacterial SSU rRNA". It matches the Rfam family "Bacterial small subunit ribosomal RNA", at positions 552 to 1370 of the family's 1533-position model. The record is from RNAcentral. Lineage: Bacteria; Bacillati; Bacillota; Bacilli; Caryophanales; Bacillaceae.
UAUUGGGCGUAGAGGGCUCGCAGGCGGUUCCUUAAGUCUGAUGUGAAAGCCCCCGGCUCAACCGGGGAGGGUCAUUGGAAACUGGGGAACUUGAGUGCAGAAGAGGAGAGUGGAAUUCCACGUGUAGCGGUGAAAUGCGUAGAGAUGUGGAGGAACACCAGUGGCGAAGGCGACUCUCUGGUCUGUAACUGACGCUGAGGAGCGAAAGCGUGGGGAGCGAACAGGAUUAGAUACCCUGGUAGUCCACGCCGUAAACGAUGAGUGCUAAGUGUUAGGGGGUUUCCGCCCCUUAGUGCUGCAGCUAACGCAUUAAGCACUCCGCCUGGGGAGUACGGUCGCAAGACUGAAACUCAAAGGAAUUGACGGGGGCCCGCACAAGCGGUGGAGCAUGUGGUUUAAUUCGAAGCAACGCGAAGAACCUUACCAGGUCUUGACAUCCUCUGACAAUCCUAGAGAUAGGACGUCCCCUUCGGGGGCAGAGUGACAGGUGGUGCAUGGUUGUCGUCAGCUCGUGUCGUGAGAUGUUGGGUUAAGUCCCGCAACGAGCGCAACCCUUGAUCUUAGUUGCCAGCAUUCGGUUGGGCACUCUAAGGUGACUGCCGGUGACAAACCGGAGGAAGGUGGGGAUGACGUCAAAUCAUCAUGCCCCUUAUGACCUGGGCUACACACGUGCUACAAUGGACAGAACAAAGGGCAGCGAAACCGCGAGGUUAAGCCAAUCCCACAAAUCUGUUCUCAGUUCGGAUCGCAGUCUGCAACUCGACUGCGUGAAGCUGGAAUCGAUAGUAAUCGCGGAUCAGCAUGCCGCGGUGAAUACG